UACGGAGGGUGCAAGCGUUAAUCGGAAUUACUGGGCGUAAAGCGCUCGUAGGCGGCUUGUUAAGUCGGAUGUGAAAGCCCCGGGCUCAACCUGGGAACUGCAUUCGAUACUGGCAGGCUAGAGUAUAGUAGAGGCAAGUGGAAUUCCGGGUGUAGCGGUGAAAUGCGUAGAUAUCCGGAGGAACAUCAGUGGCGAAGGCGACUUGCUGGACUAAUACUAACGCUAAGGAGCGAAAGCGUGGGGAGCAAACGGGAUUAGAUACCCCUGUAGUCC
Molecule: ribosomal RNA, 273 nt
Filed under: uncultured bacterium
Lineage: Bacteria
Description: partial 16S ribosomal RNA
Rfam family: Bacterial small subunit ribosomal RNA
Source: RNAcentral